CGCUGGCGGCGGGCUUAACACAUGCAAGUCGAAGGAGAAGGUAGAAGCUUGCUUUUACUGGAGACUGGCGGACGGGUGAGUAACGCGUAGAUAACCUGCCUAUAGCUGGGGGAUAACACUGCGAAAGUGGUGCUAAUACCGCAUAAUGCAGCGGGGCCGCAUGGCCAUAGUUGUUAAAGGUUUCGGCCGGCUAUAGAUGGGUCUGCGUGCUAUUAGUUAGUUGGUAGGGUAACGGCCUACCAAGGCGAUGAUAGCUAGGGGGUCUGAGAGGAUGAUCCCCCACACUGGGACUGAGACACGGCCCAGACUCCUACGGGAGGCAGCAGUGAGGAAUCUUGCGCAAUGGGCGAAAGCCUGACGCAGCCACGCCGCGUGCCGGAUGAAGGCCCUAUGGGUUGUAAACGGCUUUUACUAGGGAAGAACGAGAGGGUUUCGAUCUUCUGUGACGGUACCUAGUGAAUAAGCACCGGCUAACUCCGUGCCAGCAGCCGCGGUAAUACGGAGGGUGCAAGCGUUGUCCGGAAUCAUUGGGUGUAAAGGGUACGUAGGCGGGAGCCUAAGUCUGGGGUGAAAUCUUGCCGCUUAACGGUAAAAUGGCCCUGGAUACUGGGUUUCUUGAGUGCAGAAGAGGCAGGUGGAAUUCGUGGUGUAGCGGUGAAAUGCUUAGAUAUCACGAAGAACAUCAGUGGCGAAGGCGGCCUGCUGGUCUGCAACUGACGCUGAGGUACGAAAGCGUGGGGGAGCGAACAGGAUUAGAUACCCUGGUAGUCCACGCCGUAAACGAUGCAUACUAGGUGUUGGCCUUUGGGCCAGUGCUGCAGUUAACGCAUUAAGUAUGCCACCUGGGGAGUACGUCG
RNAcentral lists this ribosomal RNA (857 nucleotides) under uncultured bacterium. RNAcentral describes it as "bacterial SSU rRNA". It matches the Rfam family "Bacterial small subunit ribosomal RNA", at positions 34 to 887 of the family's 1533-position model. The record is from RNAcentral.